AUUGAACGCUGGCGGCAUGCCUUACACAUGCAAGUCGAACGGUAACAGGUUAAGCUGACGAGUGGCGAACGGGUGAGUAAUGUAUCGGAACGUGCCCAGUCGUGGGGGAUAACUGCUCGAAAGAGCAGCUAAUACCGCAUACGACCUGAGGGUGAAAGCGGGGGAUCGCAAGACCUCGCGCGAUUGGAGCGGCCGAUAUCAGAUUAGGUAGUUGGUGAGGUAAAGGCUCACCAAGCCGACGAUCUGUAGCUGGUCUGAGAGGACGACCAGCCGCACUGGGACUGAGACACGGCCCAGACUCCUACGGGAGGCAGCAGUGGGGAAUUUUGGACAAUGGGCGCAAGCCUGAUCCAGCCAUGCCGCGUGCGGGAAGAAGGCCUUCGGGUUGUAAACCGCUUUUGUCAGGGAAGAAAAGGUUCUGGCUAAUACCUGGGACUCAUGACGGUACCUGAAGAAUAAGCACCGGCUAACUACGUG
Molecule: ribosomal RNA, 477 nt
Filed under: uncultured bacterium
Lineage: Bacteria
Description: partial 16S ribosomal RNA
Rfam family: Bacterial small subunit ribosomal RNA
Source: RNAcentral